UACGUAGGGUCCGAGCGUUGUCCGGAAUUACUGGGCGUAAAGAGCUCGUAGGUGGUUUGUCGCGUUGUUCGUGAAAACUCACAGCUCAACUGUGGGCGUGCGGGCGAUACGGGCAGACUAGAGUACUGCAAGGGAGACUGGAAUUCCUGGUGUAGCGGUGGAAUGCGCAGAUAUCCGGAGGAACACCAGUGGCGAAGGCGGCCUGCUGGGCUAUGGCUGACACUGAGGCGCGACAGCGUGGGGAGCAAACAGGG
This 254-nucleotide ribosomal RNA is filed under the name uncultured bacterium. RNAcentral describes it as "partial 16S ribosomal RNA". It matches the Rfam family "Bacterial small subunit ribosomal RNA", at positions 524 to 777 of the family's 1533-position model. The record is from RNAcentral.